Molecule: long non-coding RNA, 1236 nt
Filed under: Panax ginseng (ginseng)
Lineage: Eukaryota; Viridiplantae; Streptophyta; Magnoliopsida; Apiales; Araliaceae
Description: long non-coding RNA (PGIN_LNC017876)
Source: RNAcentral
AACAAUACUAUAUAUCAACAGUAAAUGAAAGCUUCCUGUUCUUGAAUAUAUAUCAGGUACAGCACAAACUAAACCACUUAUGUUCUAUAGCUAACCAAAAAAUAUUACCUGAUCCACUGUGAUUGAGUGUGACUAGACUGAGUGCAGAAUGAACUCAUGACCGCUCUCAUGCUCAAACCUGCAUUCUCACAUACAUAUACAACAGGUCAAACAUUCAGCAAGCAAUGACCCUUUAAUGACAUCUCAAAAAUAAAAAGCGCAUACCCUCUUUUCAGCUCUCCAUUGUUCAACGCUAUUGACAAACUGACAACAACAGAGGAAAUAAUUCCCGACACCCCCUUUUCAAGAAGAUGAGAGAUGAAAUCUCGAAACUCCAUCUUUACAGUUUUAUUCAACAAUAUAGGGUUAACAAUUAUUACCGAAAAAUGUUUAUAACAUAAAGUACAAAAGCCUACUCUAAUGGUUAAGACUUGAGAUAAAAGGAAUCACAUAUGGAUAGCAGAUAUCUGAUGAUCAAUAAUCUUAUUUGCAAUCUUUAUAAACCUCUAUUCAAUAAGAAGGGUAGAAAGAAUUGCACAGACCUCAGCCAGAACUGAAAUAAACCUAUUACCUCGAAGCUACCAAACAUCCAACCAUUGCUUGAUUGAAACUCGAGGUUGAGUUAUAUUAGUCAAACAAAAUUUAAGAGAACAUAUUUAAAAAGAAAAAAAAUAGAUAUAAAGUAAAAAGGAGUUUCGCCAACACUAUUUUUUAAGUUUAUAAUGUUGCUAAAAUAUCAUUAACAAUCAAACCUCAAGUAUCCUUUCUUUAGAAUCCGCAGAAGGUUUAAACCUGUGUCCAAUCAACAGUAACAGACUACAACUCAAUCAACAGCAAAUUAUCGACUAACCAUCAAUGUUAGCUGGGAUAAGAAAACUUUCUGCAUUUAAAAUUCAGCAAAACCCUCAAUUCUGCAAUCCAAAAUUCAUCCUCCCCAAUCCAAGCAAGAGAAGUAGAGAGAACGAAGGUAUAAUCAACGGCAAAAACCAAACCACAUUUUUCAGGGUUUCUUUUUUUCUAAUUCUAUUGCAUAACAAAGCACACUAAAACCAAAAUUCCCCUAAUAAAAUUGAAUUAAAGUAAACAAAUAUGGUUGUUCACUAACCAUCUAGACCGUUACAACAAAUCCUAAUUCCUAAUGUAACUAUGCUAAAAAGGAUAGGAGUCAGAAAAUUUAAUUUAAAUUGAGCUACUCAC